ACGCUCGACACCUACGGGGAGGCAGCAGUGGGGAAUAUUGCACAAUGGGGGAAACCCGUGAUGCAGCGACGCCGCGUGGAGGAAGAAGGUCUUCGGAUUGUAAACUCCUGUUGUUGGGGAAAAAGAGGAUGGUACCCAACAAGGAAGUGACGGCUAACUACGUGUCAGCAGCCGCGGUAAUCUGAGCGGGCUGGCAAGGC
Molecule: ribosomal RNA, 200 nt
Filed under: uncultured bacterium
Lineage: Bacteria
Description: partial 16S ribosomal RNA
Rfam family: Bacterial small subunit ribosomal RNA
Source: RNAcentral